AACGAACGCUGGCGGCAUGCCUAACACAUGCAAGUCGAACGAGACCUUCGGGUCUAGUGGCGCACGGGUGCGUAACGCGUGGGAAUCUGCCCUUAGGUUCGGAAUAACUUCGGGAAACUGAAGCUAAUACCGGAUGAUGACGUAAGUCCAAAGAUUUAUCGCCUAAGGAUGAGCCCGUGUAGGAUUAGCUAGUUGGUGAGGUAAAGGCUCACCAAGGCGACGAUCCUUAGCUGGUCUGAGAGGAUGAUCAGCCACACUGGGACUGAGACACGGCCCAGACUCCUACGGGAGGCAGCAGUGGGGAAUAUUGGACAAUGGGCGAAAGCCUGAUCCAGCAAUGCCGCGUGAGUGAUGAAGGCCUUAGGGUUGUAAAGCUCUUUUACCCGGGAUGAUAAUGACAGUACCGGGAGAAUAAGCUCCGGCUAACUCCGUGCCAGCAGCCGCGGUAAU
This 450-nucleotide ribosomal RNA is filed under the name uncultured bacterium. Its description in RNAcentral is "bacterial SSU rRNA". It matches the Rfam family "Bacterial small subunit ribosomal RNA", at positions 29 to 524 of the family's 1533-position model. The record is from RNAcentral.